UACGUAGGUGGCAAGCGUUAUCCGGAAUUAUUGGGCGUAAAGAGCGCGCAGGUGGUUGAUUAAGUCUGAUGUGAAAGCCCACGGCUUAACCGUGGAGGCUCAUUGGAAACUGGUCGACUUGAGUGCAGAAGAGGGAAGUGGAAUUCCAUGUGUAGCGGUGAAAUGCGUAGAGAUAUGGAGGAACACCAGUGGCGAAGGCGGCUUCCUGGUCUGUAACUGACACUGAGGCGCGAAAGCGUGGGGAGCAAACAGGAUUAGA
This 259-nucleotide ribosomal RNA is filed under the name uncultured prokaryote. Its description in RNAcentral is "partial 16S ribosomal RNA". It matches the Rfam family "Bacterial small subunit ribosomal RNA", at positions 524 to 782 of the family's 1533-position model. The record is from RNAcentral.